RNAcentral lists this ribosomal RNA (839 nucleotides) under Staphylococcus saprophyticus. Its description in RNAcentral is "bacterial SSU rRNA". It matches the Rfam family "Bacterial small subunit ribosomal RNA", at positions 55 to 876 of the family's 1533-position model. The record is from RNAcentral. Lineage: Bacteria; Bacillati; Bacillota; Bacilli; Caryophanales; Staphylococcaceae.
AUGCAAGUCGAGCGCACAGAUAAGGAGCUUGCUCCUUUGACGUUAGCGGCGGACGGGUGAGUAACACGUGGGUAACCUACCUAUAAGACUGGGAUAACUUCGGGAAACCGGAGCUAAUACCGGAUAACAUUUGGAACCGCAUGGUUCUAAAGUGAAAGAUGGUUUUGCUAUCACUUAUAGAUGGACCCGCGCCGUAUUAGCUAGUUGGUAAGGUAACGGCUUACCAAGGCGACGAUACGUAGCCCACCUGAGAGGGUGAUCGGCCACACUGGAACUGAGACACGGUCCAGACUCCUACGGGAGGCAGCAGAGGGAAUCUUCCGCAAUGGGCGAAAGCCUGACGGAGCAACGCCGCGUGAGUGAUGAAGGGUUUCGGCUCGUAAAACUCUGUUAUUAGGGAAGAACAAAUGUGUAAGUAACUGUGCACGUCUUGACGGUACCUAAUCAGAAAGCCACGGCUAACUACGUGCCAGCAGCCGCGGUAAUACGUAGGUGGCAAGCGUUAUCCGGAAUUAUUGGGCGUAAAGCGCGCGUAGGCGGUUUCUUAAGUCUGAUGUGAAAGCCCACGGCUCAACCGUGGAGGGUCAUUGGAAACUGGGAAACUUGAGUGCAGAAGAGGAAAGUGGAAUUCCAUGUGUAGCGGUGAAAUGCGCACAGAUAUGGAGGAACACCAGUGGCGAAGGCGACUUUCUGGUCUGUAACUGACGCUGAUGUGCGAAAGCGUGGGGAUCAAACAGGAUUAGAUACCCUGGUAGUCCACGCCGUAAACGAUGAGUGCUAAGUGUUAGGGGGUUUCCGCCCCUUAGUGCUGCACCUAACGCAAUAAGCACUCCGCCUGG